UCCAUCCAAAGGUAGAAAAAUUGUUCUCUUAUGAUACAUCCAGUGAAGACUCUACAAGUCAUCAGACAUAUGAAGCAGAGGAGCACAGUCAUGUCUGCAAUUCGUAAAGAAGCCCCAAAAAGGGAAAAGCAUCUCUCCAAAAGAGGGAAGACUGAAUUGGAUGAUUCGAGUCCAGGCGGGGACCCUGGCGGUCCGAUCCUUGGCUGCAGAAGCUAGCUCUUGGGACAUGGAAUGUCACCUCUCUGGCAGGGAAGGAGCCCGAGCUGGUGUGUGAGGCAGAGAAUUUCCGACUGGAUAUAGUCGGACUUGCCUCCACACACAGCCCGGGUUCUGGUACCAGUUCUCUCGAGAGGGGUUGGACUCUCUUCCACUCUGGAGUUGCUCACGGUGAGAGGCGCAGAGCAGGUGUGGGCAUACUCAUUGCCCCCCGCCUCAGUGCCUGUACAUUGGGGUUCACACCGGUAGACGAGAGGGUUGCCUCCCUCCGCCUUCGGGUGGGUGGACGGGUCCUGACUGUUGUUUGUGCAUAUGCACCAAACAGCAGCUCAGCAUACCCACCCUUUUUGGAGUCCUUGGAGGGUGUGCUGGAGAGUACUCCUGCUGGGGACUCCAUUGUUCUGCUGGGGGACUUCAAUGCUCACGUGGGCAAUGACAGUGAUACCUGGAGGGGCGUGAUUGGGAGGAACGGCCCCCCCCGAUCAAAACCCGAGUGGUGUUUUGUUAUUGGACUUCUGUGCUCGUCACGGAUUGUCCAUAACGAACACCUUGUUCAAACAUAAGGGUGUCCAUAUGUGCACUUGGCACCAGGACACCCCAGGCCGCAGUUCGAUGAUCGACUUUGUAGUUGUAUCAUCGGAUUUGCGGCCGCAUGUUCUGGACACUCGGGUGAAGAGAGGGGCGGAGCUGUCAACUGAUCACCACCUGGUGGUGAGUAGGCUCCGAUGGUGGGGGAAGAUGCCGGUCCGUCCUGGCAGACCCAAACGUAUAGUGAGGGUUUGUUGGGAGCGUCUGGCGGAAUCCCCUGUCAGAAGGAGUUUCAACUCCCACCUCCGACAGAGCUUUUCCCAUGUUCCGGGGGAGACGGGGGACAUUGAGUCCGAGUGGACCAUGUUCCGUGCCUCUAUUGUUGAGGCGGCCAAUCUGAGUUGUGGCCGUAAGGUGGUUGGUGCCUGUCGUGGCGGCAAUCCCCGUACUCGCUGGUGGACACCAGCAGUAAGGGAUGCCGUCAAGCUGAAGGAGUCCUA
Molecule: long non-coding RNA, 1244 nt
Organism: Hippocampus zosterae (dwarf seahorse)
Lineage: Eukaryota; Metazoa; Chordata; Actinopteri; Syngnathiformes; Syngnathidae
Exons: 3
Source: RefSeq, a predicted model, not a curated record